GAUGAACGCUGGCGGCGUGCCUAAUACAUGCAAGUCGAGCGAACAGACGAGGAGCUUGCUCCUCUGACGUUAGCGGCGGACGGGUGAGUAACACGUGGAUAACCUACCUAUAAGACUGGGACAACUUCGGGAAACCGGAGCUAAUACCGGAUAAUAUAUUGAACCGCAUGGUUCAAUAGUGAAAGACGGUUUUGCUGUCACUUAUAGAUGGAUCCGCGCCGCAUUAGCUAGUUGGUAAGGUAACGGCUUACCAAGGCAACGAUGCGUAGCCGACCUGAGAGAGUGAUCGGCCACACUGGAACUGAGACACGGUCCAGACUCCUACGGGAGGCAGCAGUAGGGAAUCUUCCGCAAUGGGCGAAAGCCUGACGGAGCAACGCCGCGUGAGUGAUGAAGGUCUUCGGAUCGUAAAACUCUGUUAUUAGGGAAGAACAAAUGUGUAAGUAACUAUGCACGUCUUGACGGUACCUAAUCAGAAAGCCACGGCUAACUACGUG
Molecule: ribosomal RNA, 497 nt
Filed under: uncultured bacterium
Lineage: Bacteria
Description: partial 16S ribosomal RNA
Rfam family: Bacterial small subunit ribosomal RNA
Source: RNAcentral